Limulus polyphemus (Atlantic horseshoe crab) is the source of this 89-nucleotide long non-coding RNA. RefSeq lists it as uncharacterized. NCBI's taxonomy places the organism in Eukaryota, Metazoa, Arthropoda, Merostomata, Xiphosura, Limulidae. The record is from RefSeq and is a predicted model, not a curated record. The transcript is spliced from 3 exons.
UAUUGGGUAUACCCAGUGGUGGGAUUCAAAUAUUUUAACAACAGGUUCUCUCACUAGCAGCAUGCCAUAUUGACCCGAUAGAGACCAAA